UUUCAAUGAAUUGAAUAAGUCUUCGAAACUUAUAAUAUAAGCACGGUCUUAUAGAAAUC
This 59-nucleotide transfer RNA is filed under the name Ulva gigantea. Its description in RNAcentral is "tRNA-Arg". Lineage: Eukaryota; Viridiplantae; Chlorophyta; Ulvophyceae; Ulvales; Ulvaceae. The record is from RNAcentral.